Molecule: ribosomal RNA, 740 nt
Filed under: uncultured archaeon
Lineage: Archaea
Description: bacterial SSU rRNA
Rfam family: Archaeal small subunit ribosomal RNA
Source: RNAcentral
UUCCGGUUGAUCCUGCCGGACCCGACUGCUAUCAGAGUGGGACUAAGCCAUGCGAGUCAGCGUAGCAAUACGUGGCAUACGGCUCAGUAACACGUAGUCAACAUGCCCAGGGGACGAGGAUAACCUCGGGAAACUGAGGAUAAACCUCGAUAGGCCAUGAUUUCUGGAAUGAUUCUUGGCUCAAACCUAUAUGGCCCCUGGAUUGGACUGCGGCCGAUCAGGCUGUUGGUGAGGUAAUGGCCCACCAAACCUAUUACCGGUACGGGCUCUGAGAGGAGGAGCCCGGAGAUGGGCACUGAGACAAGGGCCCAGGCCCUAUGGGGCGCAGCAGGCGCGAAACCUCUGCAAUAGGCGAAAGCUUGACAGGGUUACUCUGAGUGAUUUCCGCUAAGGGAGUCUUUUGGCACCUCUAAAAAUGGUGCAGAAUAAGGGGUGGGCAAGUCUGGUGUCAGCCGCCGCGGUAAUACCAGCACCCCGAGUGGUCGGGACGAUUAUUGGGCCUAAAGCAUCCGUAGCCGGUCCUGCAAGUCUUCCGUUAAAUCCAGCUGCUCAACAGAUGGGCUGCGGGAGAUACUACAGGGCUAGGAGGCGGGAGAGGCAAGCGGUACUUUAUGGGUAGGGGUAAAAUCCGCUGAUCCAUAGAAGACCACCAGUGGCGAAGGCGGCUUGCCAGAACGCGCUCGACGGUGGGGGAUGUAAGCUGGGGGAGCAAACCGGAUUAGAUACCCGGGUAGUCCCAG